CACAGUUCAAUCACAGUUUAAUUUUUAUUUCUACUUGUUUUGCAGAUUGUUCAAAUAAACGCAUCUGGAAAUAUUUCAGAGUAGAUAGAUAUCAAUCUAAAAAUUAAGCACAUGUAGAAUAAAUAGAUAUCAAUUGAUAUUUUAUCAAAUAAAUAAUUAAAAAAAAAAGAUGAGUGGAACGGUGUUAAACUCUUAAUUUUAAGAUGGUUGAAGUUGAGAAUAAGGAUGGUUUUAAGGUGGUAAUUGAUAUCAUAGAUAGAUAACAAAAUUGAUUUUCAGAGUAGAGAUUAGUUUAAAAAUAUAAAAUUUAAGAACAAUAAAAACCUACCUCGCGCUUGCCAGAAGUUCAAGACCUCGCCCUGGACAGGGAUUUGAAAUCGCGGAAGAUGAAGACCUCGCGCUGGACAGAAUUUAAUAGUGGUAGAGCAUUAUAAACAGAUCCUUGACAUGAUAAACAGAAGAACAAAAUCGAGAUGGAUUGGGAGAGAAUAUUCAGUUCAUAUAUUCUCUUUUAAUAUUUUCAUUAUCAUGUUCAUUGUUCAGUCAAAAGAUAUAGACAACAAAAAUAGAUCAAAAAUAGAAAAAUCAAUGAUUUAUAUUCAAUCAAAACCGGAAUAUAUAUGUCAUAUAAACCUGAUAGAGUUUUGGUAUAGAUGAUAUGAUCAAACAAUCAUAUAAAUAUGUAAUACUUAAGCAAUUCAAAUGAUGAAUGGAAAUAUAUGAUGCUUAAAGUAUGUAUAAAUAUGUAAAUUGUUGAUACUGUUGGAUGAUCGAUUGAUUGGAAUGUAGCUCGAUUAUCCGACAGAUGAUUUGCAGGUUUGAUGAUGUAAUUGAGCGGAAGUUAUUUGAGCAGCAGCAAAGCGUUGUUGAAGAACAGAGUGUGUGUGUGUGUGUGUGUGUGUGAGUGUUUGAUGAAUUGUGGAUGGUGAAAAUGUUGAAUUAUGAUGAAGGCUUAGGUAGGUUUAAAUACUAAACACCCAACGGCUAUGUUGGUGUUUGGUAUUAAUUAUAAUAAGGGAAUGGAAUUAAUGAUGGAUAUGAAAUUAAUGAUAUAUGGGAAUUCCUAAAAAAGGAAUGUGAGAAGUCAUGGGAAUAUUUAUAUAUGCAGCAAGGAUGUAUUUGCAAUAUAUCUAUAACUUGGGGUUUUGAGAUAUAUGUAUAUACAGUAUAAUAUGUGUAUAACUUAGGGGUUUAAAAAUAGUAUUUACAUUAAGGGUGUAUUUAUAAUUUUAAUUCUUUAUGGGGUUGUAUUUCUAAUAAAACCAAAAAAAAAAAAUAGAUGAUCAAUUUCUAAUGAAAACUAAAAAAUGAUUCUUUAGAUUAUUCACAAAUCAUAGUUCAAACACAUGUUAGGCCGUAUGAUCCUAUUCUAAGAUAUCAAAAAUCUAAGAUUUUUAAUACCACAUGAGAUCUGCAAAUGAUGGGUGAAUUUUUUGCAUAAAACAUAAAUCAUAAAUUAUAAAAUCUGCAUAUUAAUAAUAAAAACAGGCUAGUUAAAAAAUAAUUAUCAUCAUUGAAUAAUUACUCUAUUACCCAAAAGUAUUUUACAGAUCCUUGGCAUGAUAAACAAAAGAACAAAAUCGAGAUUGGGAGAAGAAAAGAAUCGAGAUGGAUUGGGAGAUGAAAAACAGGAAGAAGAAAAACGGCAUUAUUCCUCCAAAUUGUUUCUCAAAGAAGAAUGUAAAAGAACAGAAUCGAGAUGGAUUGGGAGAUUAAAAACAGGAAGAAGAAAAACAGCAUUAUUCCUCCAAAUUGUUUCUCAAAGAAGAACAUACAAUAAUAAAGAUGAAAAAUAGGUAGACUAAAAUAACAGAGAGUAGAAACUACUAAAAUGGAAUCAAACCUGAUGAGGAAUCGAGACGCCAGAGGAAGUGGCCUCUGUCACCGGAGGUCGCCGCUGCAGUUGCAAUCGCCGCUGCCGUUUGCAAUCGUCG
Molecule: long non-coding RNA, 1934 nt
Filed under: Zostera marina
Lineage: Eukaryota; Viridiplantae; Streptophyta; Magnoliopsida; Alismatales; Zosteraceae
Description: long non-coding RNA (ZMAR_LNC000396)
Source: RNAcentral